This is a non-coding RNA of Ailuropoda melanoleuca (giant panda), 396 nucleotides long. NCBI's taxonomy places the organism in Eukaryota, Metazoa, Chordata, Mammalia, Carnivora, Ursidae. The record is from the annotation of a RefSeq genome assembly.
AUGGUGACUGACAUGUGUCCCUUUGACCAGCAUUUGGUGCGAUGGGACUGGCUCUUGCUCCCUAAGCAUUUCAUUAAUGAGAAGCAUUCAAAGGAGCCUGGGCCUGGGGGCCUGGUACAGUACUCCCAGAUGGGACUCAGCAGGUCUGCGAACAAAAGUCAGACUCUCGCCUGCACCCUGAGCAGUGGCUUCCGUAUUGGCGGCUCCUACAUUUACUGGUUCCAGGAGCGGCCAAGGAGCCGUCCCCGGUAUCUCCUGGACUACUCCUCAGACUCAGUUAAGCACCAGGACUCAGGGGUCCCCAGCCACUUCUCUGGAUCCAAGGAUACCUCGGCCAGCGCAGGGCUUCUGCUCAUCUCCAGGCUGCAGCCUGAGGACGAGGCUGACUAUUUCUGA